Molecule: long non-coding RNA, 1305 nt
Organism: Callithrix jacchus (white-tufted-ear marmoset)
Lineage: Eukaryota; Metazoa; Chordata; Mammalia; Primates; Cebidae
Source: RefSeq, a predicted model, not a curated record
CCAUUUGCUGUAUAAGCUCCGAGUGUCUUUUUGCAUGUUUUAAAAUAUGCUCUGAAUUUCCUAGGAAUUAUCCUACCGUAUAAAUCAAGGGAAAGUGGCACUGCAUUUUGUUUGAAACUUUACCUAGAGUUGUUCACCAUUUUGGAAAAUCAUGCAGUCAGUGCAAUGGCCUCGUGUUGGUUUUACUUUUAAAACCUAAGUGUGGAACACUCAAGAAAUGUGUGUGACCUGGUGCCUGAGAGAGGGCACCUCAGUUGCCAAACAACAGGACACAGAGGAUAGUGACAAGGUGAGGACGAUGGUAUAUCCACACCCUUCAGGCAUGUGCAGAAGAGACAACUGAGGCUCAGCAACACUGUGGCACUGGACUGCUGGAUCCCCUGCCUUGCCUGUGUCUUCAAUUCUCAGCACAUGGUAGCUGCAUUGGGAAGGGGACUUGGACUCUGGAGAAGGCAGGCCCAGACACUGCAACAAACUCACAGCUUCACAAAGAUCCAGCCAGGGCCAGUGCCUUAGAGAUCCACCAGCAAGACCCAUGGACCCAAGUUCAAAAUAUACCUGGAAUUGACCGACUUCUCUUCUACUAUUGCAGACCAAGCCUUCAUUCCCUCAUUAUCUUCUAAUUUGAUCAUGCAAUCGUGUUCAAACUGGUUUCACUUCCACUGCUCCUGCGGUGCCCCGCACCACCACACCCAUUCACCACACAGCAGCCAGGGUGGUCUUUGUAAAACAUAGAUGGAUCACAUCACUUCUCUGCUUAAACUCCUUCCGCAGUUCUCAAUUACACUCAGGAGAAAAUUCACCUCUUUCAACAGAAACUUCAAGGCCUUGAGUGAUCUCGCCCCUGUCUGUCGCCCUGACUCAUCUCCUGCUGCUCUUCCCUUUGGAGAUGCAGGCAGGAGACUGGCCAAUGUAUUCUACAUGAUGUCUCUAAAGAGUUUACAUUCUAAAUGGGGCACAGGUCUAAUUUAGAGAAAGCUUGUCAACAAACAGCCACGCUGCAGCUGUUUAGGUGCAAACCCAAGUGCUACAGGUAGAAAGAAAUAGGACAGCUGAGUGUGUCUUGCAGAACAGCUAGAGUAGAAGGAGCCAAGACUGUUGUGUACCACUGUGCACCCAACACGUGGCACAGUGCCUGGCAUAAGAAGCAAAUGAGUGACAUAUACAAAAGAUGAAAAUGAAUGAGUGACCUUCCUGCCCUACUGAUGCUCACAGCCUGGUGGGGAAGGCCAACUAAUAAACAAACGCUUGGUGGUAAGACACAGGAUGGCAGGGUACAUCCAAUGUACUCUAAAGGGUAUAUGG